RNAcentral lists this transfer RNA (72 nucleotides) under Camelus bactrianus (Bactrian camel). It matches the Rfam family "tRNA". Rfam says of the family: Transfer RNA (tRNA) molecules are approximately 80 nucleotides in length. Their secondary structure includes four short double-helical elements and three loops (D, anti-codon, and T loops). Lineage: Eukaryota; Metazoa; Chordata; Mammalia; Artiodactyla; Camelidae. The record is from Rfam by way of RNAcentral. RNAcentral also lists the same sequence under 2 other names.
GGGGGUACAGCUCAGGGGUACAGCACGUGCUUAACAUGCACAAGGUCCUGGGUUCAAUCUCCAGUGCCUCUG